CUGGCACACUGUGUGUUUGUCCACCGCCACCCUCCCCUAGCGUCACUAGGCAAGAGCCCUGUUUUAUCUGGUUUUUAGGUUGUUGGAUCCCUCGAGCUGAUGCUUACUGACAAGAGGAGAAAUGUGCUGUCAUUGAAGAGAACUCAAGAAUUGUGAAAAAGUCCCUGUCAGUAGCUAUGUAAGACACGUUUUCUCUGACUGACCUCAGGACAAUCUCUGAAUACAGAAGGUCCUGAGCAGUUUCACUAACAGAAAAAUGAUGAGCAAGAUGAGGCAGCGGAGAAGAACUUUGGCUGUGGACGCCUGCUCAGCAUGGAUAGUCCCAGAAUUAUUAUGCCUUCUGGUGAAACUGGAAACUUCAAUAAUUUCUCUGGCUCAACAUCCUUAAGGCUUUUCCUUGGCAAUGGAUGCAUAAUAAAUGUUCCAUGGAGAUUUUCAACUCUGUGUUGCUAGCAGACUCUACAUCUUGGCUUGUACUUUGAUGAAAGAAGCUGCCAUGUUGAAGAAAUUGAUGGAGCAAGAAACUGAACGUGGACAACAGAUUGUAAGGAAUCCAAAGAUGAUAAGAGCCACGCACGCUUGGAAGUGGAUCUUUUCCAGUCAAAGCAUGAGAUGAUGACAGCCCUUUGCUUUAGUUCCCAAAGCAGAGCAUCUGGCUUCCCUGUGCCCAGAUUUCUGACUCAUGGAAGUUGUGGGCUAUGAUACCAUAAUAUGUGCUCUCUUAAGCCAUCAAAAUUUGGGUUCUUCAUUAUACAGUUAUGGAUAACUGAUAUGAGCAGGCAUUUAAUAUGUAUUUGAGGAAUGAUUGAAUGAAGAAGACUAAGUAGAAGUAUUUACUACUUUGUUCAUUGUGUGGUGGGUUCAUAGUGACAGUGACAGGUAGCCAUGGAGUUGAAGAGAUUUGAAUAACACUGUAGCCUGUGCGUAAGCUGCUUAUGCAAUUCUAAUUUACACCCCUUGGGAAAAUUCCAGAGUACUGGAUGUUCAAUUGUUUAGUUACUUCAUGCAAAGCUGAAAGCAAGUAUUGUUCAUUGAAUGCUUAAAACCAGAUGCAGUUAGUUUUCAGCAGUACACGUCCACUUCACACUCUAUUUGCCCUUGGAGAUGCAUAUUUUAGAAAAGACCGUGGGCCCAGGAAGCUUCUGCAAACCCCAUCUAGUGAGCUCUGGGCAGAGGCACCAGCUUGCAUGUCUGGUGUCCUCACUUCCCUUACAGUGACUGUGUAUUCCUUCCCCUUUCCUGUUUGGCUAUCCAUAUGUUAGUAGUAAAGACUGAUUCCAAAGCACUGCCUGGGCCUGGAAAAGUUGACCUCAUUCUGCUUAACGAUAUAUAUCCUGCUUAUAGUAAGGAGAAGCUCAGCGUACUAAAAUGAAAUGCUUCACUCCCACCAGAGCAGAUUCAAAAUUCUAAGUGGCAAAUAUCUAGGCAAUUUGAUGUACCACAAAUUUCUAGUGUAAAUAUGUAAGGGAUGUGUGAGUCAUAAGGACCAUUUGGCCAAGAACUGUCACCUUAGUACAAUUUUUACAUUACUUACUUCUCACCUGCAUUUACAUGGCCCAAAAUAUUUCUAGCACUGUUGGCUCUUUUGGUUGUCCUAAAUGUCCUUUCUAGUGGAAAGAGAUUUUUAUGUUCACUCUAUAAGUGAGAACAAGAUGUUAAGUACUUUCACCAAGUGAACACAGCUUUGUUUAGAGAGUAGGUACUAAACCCAGACCACAGGCCACAAGAGCAGAGUUCAUGGGUGCAAAGUGUGGAAUGAAGCCUUUAUUCUAGGCAGAAAGUUUAAAAGGGCUCCAAAAAAUUUAGUGAUUGAAAUAAUUAAUAUUUUAACAUUUCUAACAACUGAAGACAUCAAAAUCUUAAAGUUGGUCUGAAUGAUUUUUCCUUUUGUCUCAGGUGCUACUAUUUACUUCCUGGAGCGUUUCACUUUCCAAGGUCUCAGGUAAACUGAAAUCCACUCAGGAAACAGCACUAUCUUCCUGAGACUGUGGUUCACACCCACUCUCCUGUCCAGCUGUAGAAAACUUCAGAUAAUCUUCUUCCUUUGGAAUAGGGCUCAAGCCAAAUAUGAUUCCCAUUUUAAUGAUUCCUACUCUGCAGGAGCAGAGUGGUAUUUUCAUCACUCUAAGUCGCUGUCUCCACUGCUUUAAGGAAAUGCAUCUGCAGAGCAGUCAUCCCAGUUCUCCAAAUAAAGGGAGGAAACGAUCUAGGUGUUCCAAGUCCCUCUAGUCCACAGAGGAAUCAUGUAGGAUUGCAUCGUUGUCAGGAAGACAAGUUCUGGAGCUAGACUGGGUCAAGUUCUAGCUAUGUGGCCUUAAUUUUAUUUUAACUUUAUUUGAAGACUUCUGGUUCUUUUUUAAUAAUUAAGUUUACUGGUACAGUUUAGAUAAGCAUAAUGGUUGCAUUCAUUGUAGGGAAUUUGUACCUGUACAUGAUACAUCUUGUUCCCUUUUUCGUCCCUAUUCUCCUACCCUCUUUUCAACCUCUCUUCCCCUCUUUAUCUGUUUCUGUUUUAUCCUCUUUUUCUUUAUAUUUUUUCUUUUUC
Long non-coding RNA from Cavia porcellus (domestic guinea pig), 2545 nucleotides. RefSeq lists it as uncharacterized. Lineage: Eukaryota; Metazoa; Chordata; Mammalia; Rodentia; Caviidae. The transcript is spliced from 6 exons. The record is from RefSeq and is a predicted model, not a curated record.